This 462-nucleotide long non-coding RNA is filed under the name Olea europaea subsp. europaea. The record is from RNAcentral. Lineage: Eukaryota; Viridiplantae; Streptophyta; Magnoliopsida; Lamiales; Oleaceae.
CAACCUACUUGCAUAAAUGCUGCUAGAUAAAUGUUCAAGAAAACCACUGAAUCAUUCAUUGACUGCUUUUACCUUUUUAGCACAAUUUGAAAUCAUGAACAGGGAAGAAGUGAAGAUUCUUGGCUCCGGAGUAAGCCCAUUUGAAUGGAGAAUUAUUUGGGGCAUUGAAACUGAAAGGUAUUGAGUUUGAAUUCAUAAAAGAAGAUAUAUUUAAGAAGAGCUCAUUGCUCUUAGAGAGUAAUCCAGUUUACAAGAUGAUUCCAGUGUUCAUUCAUGGUGAAAAAGCCAUACCUGAUUCCCUUGUCAUUCUUUAGUAUAUUGAUGAGACAUGGAUACAGAACCCGAUUAUGCCGAAAGAUCCUCGCGAGAGAGCCUACACACGGUUUUGGGCAAAAUUUUCAGAAGAUCAGGUAAGCUAAGAUUAAGAUUUCAUCUUAAAAGGUCAACUUAGUCAGCAUGAAU